GAAUUUUGGACAAUGGGCGCAAGCCUGAUCCAGCCAUGCCGCGUGCGGGAAGAAGGCCUUCGGGUUGUAAACCGCUUUUGUCAGGGAAGAAACGGUCUGGCCUAAUACGCUGGACUAAUGGCGGUACCUGAAGCAUAAGCACCGGCUACCUACGUGCCAGCAUCCGCGGUAAUACGUAGGGUGCGAGCGUUAAUCGGAAUUACUGGGCGUAAAGCGUGCGCAGGCGGCUUUGCAAGACAGAUGUGAAAUCCCCGGGCUUAACCUGGGAACUGCAUUUGUGACUGCAAGGCUUGAGUGCGGCAGAGGGGGAUGGAAUUCCGCGUGUAGCAGUGAAAUGCGUAGAUAUGCGGAGGAACACCGAUGGCGAAGGCAAUCCCCUGGGCCUGCACUGACGCUCAUGCACGAAAGCGUGGGGAGCAAACAGG
Molecule: ribosomal RNA, 425 nt
Filed under: uncultured bacterium
Lineage: Bacteria
Description: bacterial SSU rRNA
Rfam family: Bacterial small subunit ribosomal RNA
Source: RNAcentral